CGAUAGCUCAGUCGGUAGAGCGCGCGGCUGUUAACCGCGUUGUCGUAGGUUCGAGUCCUACUCGGGGA
Molecule: transfer RNA, 68 nt
Filed under: bacterium D16-51
Lineage: Bacteria
Description: tRNA-Asn
Rfam family: tRNA
About the family: Transfer RNA (tRNA) molecules are approximately 80 nucleotides in length. Their secondary structure includes four short double-helical elements and three loops (D, anti-codon, and T loops). Further hydrogen bonds mediate the characteristic L-shaped molecular structure. tRNAs have two regions of fundamental functional importance: the anti-codon, which is responsible for specific mRNA codon recognition, and the 3' end, to which the tRNAs corresponding amino acid is attached (by aminoacyl-tRNA synthetases). tRNAs cope with the degeneracy of the genetic code in two manners: having more than one tRNA (with a specific anti-codon) for a particular amino acid; and 'wobble' base-pairing, i.e. permitting non-standard base-pairing at the 3rd anti-codon position.
Source: RNAcentral